RNAcentral lists this ribosomal RNA (680 nucleotides) under uncultured Candidatus Poseidoniales archaeon. Its description in RNAcentral is "bacterial SSU rRNA". It matches the Rfam family "Archaeal small subunit ribosomal RNA", at positions 321 to 1002 of the family's 1478-position model. The record is from RNAcentral. Lineage: Archaea; Methanobacteriati; Thermoplasmatota; Candidatus Poseidoniia; Candidatus Poseidoniales.
CCCUAUGGGGUGCAGCAGGCGCGAAAACUUCACACUGCAGGAAACUGUGAUGAGGGAACUCCAAGUGCAUGCACUAUGUGUAUGCUUUUCUUAACUUUUAAUCGGUCUUGGAAUAAGGGCUGGGAAAGACCGGUGCCGGCCGCCGCGGUAAUACCGGCAGCUCAAGUGGUCGUCGCUUUUAUUGGGCCUAAAGCGUCCGUAGCCUGUUUAGUAAAUUCGUGGGUAAAUCAACCAGCUUAACUGGUUGAAUUCUGCAAAGACUGCUAGACUAGGGACCGGGAGAGGUGUGAGGUACUCUAGGGGUAGAGGUAAAAUUCUGUCAUCCUUGGAGGACCACCAGUUGCGAAGGCGUCACACUAGAACGGCUUCGACGGUCAGGGACGAAGCCUAGGGGCACGAACCGGAUUAGAUACCCGGGUAGUCCUAGGUGUAAACGCUGUGAACUUGGUGUCGGGAUUCCGUCAGGGGACCUCGGUGCCGAAGUGAAGAUGUUAAGUUCACUGCCUGGGGAGUACGGUCGCAAGGCUGAAACUUAAAGGAAUUGGCGGGGGAGCACUGCAACGGGAGGAGCGUGCGGUUUAAUUGGAUUCAACGCCGGAAAACUCACCAAAACCGACAGUUAGAUGAAAGCCAGCGUAAUGAGCUUGCCCGAUAUUCCGAGAAGGUAGUGCAUGGGCCAA